RNAcentral lists this long non-coding RNA (6846 nucleotides) under Lactuca sativa (garden lettuce). Its description in RNAcentral is "long non-coding RNA (LSAT_LNC005681)". The record is from RNAcentral. Lineage: Eukaryota; Viridiplantae; Streptophyta; Magnoliopsida; Asterales; Asteraceae.
GUCCAAACCUUGGUGCUCAAACAACGACUAUUUGCUCCUAGAUGAUGUUUUAGCCCCAUAUCUCAUAACUCUAGGUCAAAACUCCCAUGAAUCCUCAUAAAGCUUAAGGAAUAAAGCUUCUCUGGACCUCUAUGGAUCUCAUCCCAAGCCUCAUCACAAAUAGGGACGAAAUGGACAUCAAAUCUAACCAACAAAGGGGUCAAGAAACCCUAACCCCCAUGUUUAUCAUGACAACAGAAAAUGAAGCCAAAAUAUACCUCCAAGAUGAUGCUCUGAGCUCCAAAAUCGAAGGAUGUCCACCUCCCUUGCCUCCUCUUAGCUAGAAUCUCCUUUGCCUUGCCAAACAAAGCUUGAAAGGUCAACAAUGGCCUCUUCUCUCUCCCAAAACGCUCAAAAUCUCUUUAGGGUUUCUCUCUGGGGUUGGUGGCCGCAAAUGACGGCCAUAAGCCCCUUUAAAUAGGUCUCAAACCCUGGAAAUUAGGGUUUCAUUAAACAGCAUGGACUCGCCGAGUCCAUUAAUGGACUCGCCGAGUCCGGACGUGAACCCGGAUGAACAUCCGCAACCCUACUCGACGAGUCUUGGCUCCAACUUGCCGAGUUCCUCCUUAAACACCAAAAUAAUUAAAUAAAAUAAUAUACCUGGGAAAUCAGGAUGUUACAAUUCUCCCCCACUAGAAUCAGACUUCGCCUCGAAGUCUCACUCUGGGAACAACUUCGGAUGCUGCUCAUGCAUCUCGUGCUCCGUCUCCCAAGUAAGCUCCGACCCCUUCCAGUGUUACCACUGGACCUGCACCAGAGGCAACUCUUUGUUCCCCAGAACCUUGAUCUUUCGAUCCCGAAUAGCCACCGGUCUCUCAACGUAGUUCAGGCCCACAUCCACCUGAAUAUCCUCUAAUGGCACUACUGCCGAGUCAUUGGCUAUACACUUUCGCAGCAUUGACACAUGGAAAGUGUCAUGGAUCUGACCUAGCUCUGCAUGUAGCUCCAACCGGUAGGCUACCCUGCCUACCCUCACAAUCACCCGAAAAGGACCGAUAUAUCGGGGCCCCAACUUGCCCCUCUUCCUGAAUCGGAUCACUCCUUUCCAAGGAGAGAUCUUCAGGAGCACGAAGUCACUGACCAAAAAUUCGAGCUCGGACUGGCGCCUGUCCGCAUAACUCUUCUGGCGACUCUGAGCGGUCAACAACCUCUACCUAACCUGUUGUAUCUGCUCUGACGUCUGAAGCACGAUCGUUGUACUUCCCAUCACAUGUUGCCCUACCUCUCCCCAGCAAAUGGGGUCUGAUACCUCCUUCCCUACAACAGCUCAAAGGGUGGCAUACUGAUGCACUAAUGAUGGCUGUUGUUGUAGGAAAACUCUUCCAAGGGCAAAUACGGGCCACAAUUUCCCCCCGAAAUCUAAUACACAUGCCCGAAACAUAUCCUCGAGCGUCUGAAUCGUUCGCUCGCUCUGAAGUGUCCACACACAUCACCAUGGUAAACUCUAGCUCAUUUCUCAUAUUCAUCUUUGAUACCGAGCACCAGGUCAGCUUUUGGCCCCACAGCUGAACCCCCAAAGGUCACACAUAACAUGAUCCAAAAUAUCUCACUAACUUCCUCCCCGUGACCACUAUCACGGCCCAGUGACACGCAAGUCACGAAAUUCCCUUUUCCUCAUAAAAAAAUACAAUCCAAUCGAAGAUCGACUCAGCUCUAACCUCUGGCGUCUGCUGCGCAUAUUCUCCCGCGCGCCUCGCUGACCCUCCCGACAGAGACGGAGACCCCAGUCUCGCCCCGGUUUAACCACUAGGCUCCAAAAACUCAACACUAGGGCUACUCAAGCCUAAAACUCUUCUGCAUCAUGCACUUAUCGGAGAACACUCCAUCAUCACACUCUCUUGCCGUCUAGUGGGUACUAUGGCUUCCCGCAACAUUACGACAACCUCUGACUAGUGAGUACUACGGCUCCCCGUAGUAUCACAACGCCAACUAACUAGUGAGUACUACGGCUCCCCGUAGUACCACGACUCCCUCCCUCUGACUUGUGAGUACUACGGCUCCCCGUAGCAUCACAACACCCUCUGACUGGCAAAUACUACGGCUCCCCGUAGCAUCACGACUCUCUCUCUCUCUCUCUCUCUCUCUGACUUGUGAGUACUACGGCUCCCCGUAGCAUCACAACACCCUCUGACUGGUGAAUACUACGGCUCCCCGUAGCUUCACCCUAUACUCUCAUUCUCAUUACAACGCCACACUAUGUUCACUAACUCAUGCACCGAAGACUAUCAUAGAUAGUUACACACACACUUGCCCCGAUAUGCAUUACAGACUCUGGCGGCAACCGCCAUAACACAGAACCUACCUUUGCGGAGAUCCACUUCCUUAAAUAAUCCCUCUUGAUGACAAUACACGAAGGGCUCCCACUGGAACCGUGGAUACAUGAUACAUCACUAGUCAUCUUAAACCCAAGACUCUAAAUAACUCUGAAAUCGGGACGCUAUACGCGGAAACCACGGAACACCCUAACAGAGCAUCACAAUGUCCUGCCUCUACCACUGAUUCCCUUACUCCCAGCACCAUACACAUACAACAAUACAUUUCCUCUGAAUCCCAUAAUAAUUUCCUAUUUCACUCAAUGCGCAACUUCAGUGCAUCCAAACACUCAAUUGGAAUACAAGGAAGGCGCUAACCCUUCAGAACACACUGAUGAUCCUCCGAAACCCUUUCCACUACUGCUCAAAAUCCAAGCAAGAAUACACAUCCCAGCCCGGGAGUUGGCUACUCGACAAUCUUCUACCCAUAUUUCAACCCAGAAGUUCUCAACUGCCCAUACCAUCAUUACGAGUCUUCCACUUGAAACGACUCUGACCACCACCAGAUUCCUGACCAUUGACCACCCGCCGUGGAGACACCCAUCCUUCUCUCAGGCAUACACCACAUGCAUUAUCUCGCCCUACACCUUUCCUUGACCACCAAUGACCCUGAUCUCUUGAAUUCAAGCCGCAGGUUUCUGCAUCCAACCCCUAACUGCUCUUGCACAAAUCUCUGGUUCUCUCAAUAAACCACCCGGUUCUCCCCCACUUAGGGUUCGAACCAUCACUAUCUGACACAUCAACAACCUCACGAACUAUUUUCACCAGCAAUAACGCACCUGCCCCUGGAAAGUGCUACGCAACGCCCGAUAAUCCCCUUUAAGGAAAUCAAUCGAUCUCAUAACUCUGAACCUCAGAUGAAAUCCUCAAGAACUUCUCGUCACGACUGCCUCUAGUCGUUCCAAGUCUCGUACCAAUCCAAUACCAAACAACUCAACUGUCCAAUAACAUCACUGACUCAUAGACUGGACCACGAAAUCAUCAUACUCCCCCACCUCGACUCAUCAACCGACGUUCCAACACAUGGAUCAUCCCAAGAACAGGGACCCACUCCCAUAUUCAAUACCCAACAUAGAUAGAAAAACCACUGCACUGAUUAACUCGACUGGACUCCCCACUGAUACCUCUACAAUACGCCCUACUAUACUCAAAUAGGUGUAACGUGGUCCUCGACUAUCUCAGUCCCAACUGACUAUCUGCUCAUGGUAAAUCACUGUCUCGCAGCACACAUGCUACCUGAUACCCUGAUGGAAAAUCAUCAUCAAUGACAACCUGCAGGGUUUUACCCCCAAACCCGAAACAUAAACAUCAGGCCUCUCAUGUUCCGCACACGAACAUAAAUAGCACCACUCAGGUCAUAGAAGGUGACAUCUCCUCUAUCGACUGAUUGCUCAACUCAGACCGAAAUUCUCCCCUCCCUCUAACUCCUUACCAAAAUACUCUGAUAUGCUCUCGACCUCCCUCUCAAGGGACGCCUCUUCGAACUCAAUCAUGGCCCACAGGCCUAAAACCCAUAGCGUCCAAUCUCUACCUCAUCAAUCGUGACCGGAUAACCGGAGAACCACAAGCAUCAUUCACUACGAACCAUGGUACUCAUCCCAUGACAUCUCUUCUCAAUAUGCUCCGGUGUAUGGUACCCGAACCAUAGCAUCACUCCUCCAUCUGCUCCGAUGUAUGGUACUCGAACCAUAACAUCAUUCCUUCAUCCGCUCCGAUUUAUGGUACUCGAACCAUAACUUCACUCCUCGAUCCGCUCCGAUGUAUGGUACUCGAACCAUAACAUCACUUCUCAAUCCGCUCCGAUGUAUGGUACUCGAACCAUAACAUCACUCCUCAAUCCGCUCCGAUGUAUGGUACUCGAACCAUAACAUCACUCCUCAAUCCACUUCGAUGUAUGGUACUCGAACCAUAACAUCACUCCUCAAUCCGCUCUGAUGUAUGGUACUCGAACCAUAACAUCACACCUCAAUCCGCUCCGAUGUAUGGUACUCGAACCAUAACAUCACUCCUCAAUCCGCUCCGAUGUAUGGUACUCGAACCAUAACAUCACUCCUCAAUCCGCUCCGAUGUAUGGUACUCGAACCAUAACAUCACUCCUCAAUCUGCUCCGAUGUAUGGUACUCGAACCAUAACAUCACUCCUCAAUCCGCUCCGAUGUAUGGUACUCGAACCAUAACAUCACUCCUCAAUCCACUCAUUAGAACCUUCAGAAUACUCCCUGUAUCAAGUAUGGGUCCUAUGCUUUCAGUAGUACGGGCCCAUACUACCUGCCACAUCUACCCAUACUUUCCACACGGACUAUCCCGGAGCUCCUAAGUAGCUGCUCGACCUUCUCGUUCACCAAUUCCGUCGCGCGCUCGCUCCCCAGCGAAAUUCUCUACCCUGCCAGUGCACUCAUCUGGCUAAGGUUACUCCCUAGGCUCUUCCUAGAUUCCCACACUUCUCUGCCAUCAGCUGCUGAAGAGCUCCUAAUGAUGCCAGCCAUCUACCUCCUGAAUAUCGUCAUAUUUGCUUGGUAGCUGACUCCCAUCAUCGAGAGUUCCACAAAGCACGAAGCAAGCAGCAUUCGAGCAUCAAAGAAUACAUAUGAAUCACUCUGGGUGAUAACUCCGCUUACUCUGCUCAUCCUCGGAAGUACCACCGAACACUGUAACUCUUCCCCUCGCAGGUUCUAACUAUUCUUUCGCUAAGAACCAAGGUAUUCAUCUAGGUAUCUCCCCUAGAUUACUCCUCUACUCAAAUCCCCUAAAGGAUUCCAAUCAAAUAUUCUCACUCAUCACAUACUCAAAAGCACAUCGCAUAUCACAGCAAUUCCUAGGCUAAGGCAUCACAAAUCAGGCCACUCUAGUCCUAAGAUAUGGAAUACCUAGCCUGUCUCUAGCAUGCAAUAAUAUCUCAUAAAGUGCAUCAUAAAUAUCUCAUGACACAAAAGUAAGGGUAUUUUGGGAAAUCACCGUUUGGGCUCUGGCUGAUUGUACACACUGCUCUUUCUCGUUUUCUCUUUGAACUCCUAUUCGCUUUAGAAAAUUAUUUCUUUGAAAACUUUUCUUACUUCCUCAGUUUGAGUCCAGAUUUACCCGAAGGUGCAUCCGAAUCCCUCAAACCAAGGCUCUGAUACCAACUUGUAACACCGAAAAUUUCAAAACAAUUUUUCAUUUAAAAAUAAUCGUUUAAUUCUUAAAAACACUUUGCUUAAAAUCUCAUUCAUAAUCGAAUUACAAAACAUAACUCCAUUUUCACUUGCAUAAUAAACCAGGAUCCUCUGAACAUGACUCUUUCUCUGGUGUGUACAAUCGAGUCGGUGCCGUCCCGUGAUCCUGAGAGAAACCUGAAACACAUAACACAAAACACUAUAAGCACGAAGCUUAGUGAGUUCCCCAAAAUACCACACAUAACACAUAUUAGCCACUCGAGGCUAUAACUCUGUGGGUCCGUGGACCCUACUCUAUGAACCCUCUGGUUCUAACUCUGUGAACCUUCCGGUUCUAACUCUGGGAACCUUCCGGUUCUAACUCUGUAAACAUGCACAACAUAAAUCACAUAGAAAUAAUGCAGUACAACACAUAACAUACAUAGCAUACAAAUACUCUGUCACAUAACUCUGGUUACCUACUCAAGGUAAAGUAUAGUGAGAAGACUCACCUGGCAAGCAGAAAGCAGAUAUCCCCACACUUGAAUCUCGAACUCGCCACCGCCUAACACAUAAGGCAAAUACUCUCAUGAAUAUAACUCUCGAGACUAGAAUCAACCCUCUCUUGGCACCCUCUUAAGGGUAAAAGACCAUUUUACCCCUCUCUUGGCCCAAAGGCCACAUCGCUGACCAAACCCUAAAAGUCAACAAAAGUCAACGGUCAACUUUGACCGGACUCGGCGAGUGCACUAGGGCGACUCGGCGAGUCUAUACGUGUCCACUGACUCCCUUGGAUCCUCUCUUGACACGUCGAGUAUUUCUCUGACUCGACGAGUUUCACCUGGCAUAAAUCGCGGGGCCACCACGACUCAACUCGCCGAGUCUCAAGAACAACUCGGCGAGUUCCGGCUUGACUCAGUCCCCCCUGACUCUCCCUGACUCACUGAGUCGACCCCUCAACUCGACAAGACCACUCGCUGAGUGGUUACGGGCAAACUUCAUGCUACUCGCCGAGUCUGUUCUUCAGACUCGGCGAGUCCAUGCCAUGCAUAACUCAAACUCACUUCUGAGGUCAGAUCUGUUCCAUACAAUCAUAGAUCUGGCCUCCCCAGGCAUGAUAAUCACUUAAAGUCCAAACCUUGGUGCUCAAACAACGACUAUUUGCUCCUAGAUGAUGUUUUAGCCCCAUAUCUCAUAACUCUAGGUCAAAACUCCCAUGAAUCCUCAUAAAGCUUAAGGAAUAAAGCUUCUCUGGACCUCUAUGGAUCUCAUCCCAAGCCUCAUCACAAAUAGGGACGAAAUGGACAUCAAAUCUAACCAACAAAGGGGUCAAGAAACCCUAACCCCCAUGUUUAUCAUGACAAC